AUUACUUCUUGGCCUUUGGGCUACGAUCAACUAUAGAAUCUAUUCUUUUCAUCUUAAUAUCUGAUACAUUCUCUAUCCAAGGAUAAUAUAUUAUGUAGAUUUCUGGAGAUGGAACAGGAGUUUGGUCUGUCUACACAAUUGCAUUGUUCUAGUAUUGCAACAACCCCAGGGGUGGCACACACACA
Molecule: small nuclear RNA, 185 nt
Organism: Nannospalax galili (Upper Galilee mountains blind mole rat)
Lineage: Eukaryota; Metazoa; Chordata; Mammalia; Rodentia; Spalacidae
Gene: U2
Rfam family: U2 spliceosomal RNA
About the family: U2 is a small nuclear RNA (snRNA) component of the spliceosome (involved in pre-mRNA splicing). Complementary binding between U2 snRNA (in an area lying towards the 5' end but 3' to hairpin I) and the branchpoint sequence (BPS) of the intron results the bulging out of an unpaired adenosine, on the BPS, which initiates a nucleophilic attack at the intronic 5' splice site, thus starting the first of two transesterification reactions that mediate splicing.
Source: Ensembl